This is a long non-coding RNA of Nematostella vectensis (starlet sea anemone), 286 nucleotides long. RefSeq lists it as uncharacterized. The record is from RefSeq and is a predicted model, not a curated record. Lineage: Eukaryota; Metazoa; Cnidaria; Anthozoa; Actiniaria; Edwardsiidae. The transcript has 2 exons.
CACGACUGAGGUAGAUUUCUUCUCGGUGCCUUGUGGUGAUAUGUCGGGCUAGUGAAAGUUAAGGAAAGAGGAACUUUUACGCGCGUGUCUGCCAUUUUGAUUUGCCGUGAACUCGUGAAAAAGAGCAUUGCUUCUCCUUGCAUCUCCUUAGUUACGACAAGAAGUUAGUCUGAAGUGGAACCGUACCUGCCAUGAAAUGGGCCAUUAGAAACAGACUGAAAACCAAGCUUUGCAGCCGCCAGUGCAUACUCGCAUAUACUGUAUAUACUUCAUGUAAACAACACAC